UGUGGAUGUCCCGGAAGUCUUCCGCUCAGUCCGCCGCUGGACGCAGCUCGGCCAGCGGGCUGGAGGGUCGGUCCCACGGAGCGCGCCGAGGCCCAGGGGAGAGCGGGCCCGGGGUGCCCUUCCCUGCGGCCCCUGGUUGGGGCAGACCCGGGGGCGCCCGUCCCUCUGCCCACUUAGGUUCUUUCUGCUCUGUGAUAACGCCCUCCCCCGAUGGGUGAGAAAACCAGCUCGAAGCUCAGGCUCCAAGCUGACAUCUUUUUAAACAUUGUAUGGACACCUGCUGUGUGAUCCAGACGUUCCUCUGCGAGGGGAAGGGCCCACGUACAUGGAGCUGUGCCUGGAGUUGCAUUGCGGCCUUAACAGCCCAGAGCCGACACAGCCCCGACGUCCAGACAGCCGAGCGCACAGAUGAGCCUGGCGUGUCCAAACGUGGACACCUCUCACUGAAAAAUAGCACACUGCGCCUGAGUGUCUGAAUGCUGAAUGAAGGAAGCAGAUAAAAUAUGGAUGUGAGGAGGAUGUGCAGUCUACUGUUGCGUGGAAUGUUCCAGACAUGUCCUUGGAGAAAGUCAACUGAUGGUCUUCAUGUUGAACUGUAUCCUCCCUGGCUUCCUGACUGCUUGUCCAUCAGUUACCAGAAGAGGGCUGCUCAAGUCUCAGAGGUGAACCUGCGCUUGCCGUUUCCCCUCACCAUCCUGCCGGGCUCUGCUCACCUCGGCUCUUUGAUGCUCUGGGGUUUGGGAGGCAGGGAAGGCUCUUCCAAGGCUGAGACUGUAGAAGUUAUGGGGAAGUUCCACGCACUCGGCCGCUGCUCCGUCCCAGCUACCGGCAAAUCCCUCUCUUAGUGGUGGGCCAGGUCCUAUUUGCAAACCUGUGCGGAACAGUGCGCAGGGAGGAGUCUGCCUGUAGAGCUGAGUUACUCCUCCCAGCAGUCUCCGCCCCCUGCCCCCCACAGAGGGUCAGUGUCGUCUCCUUCUGAGUGUCCCGGCCAUCUCUGCAGCCUGAACCCUCAGGUAUGGAAAAGGCAGUCGGCAGGUAGCUUGGGUGAGAAAUAACCUUCUCGGAGCCGUAAGGGUCUGAGGUCACUGUUAUCCCAGCUGGCACAGACUGGCACCUUGAUUCGGGUGCUGCGCCCACAAACCCCAAAGCUAUGGCGUUGGCUCUGGGGCUGGUGGGGCUGUGUGAAACCUUGCCCAGACUGGUUCCACGAGGCCCCGGAAAGCAGAGGUGGAGGCUGUGGACGUAGGCCCAGAGGUUUGGGGAUCAAGUGAGAUCACAGGGCCUUGAUCAGCUGCAAGGGCUGCGGGUCCUCAGGUGGCAGGAAGGAGGAGAGGGCAGGCAGGUGGAAGCCAGUUUGCAAGCAGUGUGGAAAGGACGGGCCCACCUCACUUUGCUGCUCUCCGCAGCUGCUGCGUUUUCUGCAGAUUGGGGGUUUUUGGCCACACCGCGUUGCUCAAGUCUGUCUGUGCCGCUUUUUCCUUAGCAUUUGCUCACUUUGUGUCCCCGCAUCUCAGUUUUAAAUUCCUGCAGCGUUCCAAAUGCCCUUCCAUGUUUUCCUAUUUAUUACCAUGCUCAGUGAUCUUUGAUGUUUCUAUUAAUACUACGAUUCACCGAAGGCUCAGACAGUGGUUAGCAUCUUUUAGCAAUAAAAUAUUUUAAAUUAAGGCACAUACAUUGCUUUUUAGAAAGAAUGCUAUCUCACACUUAAUAGAACACAGUGUAGCAUAAGCAUAAAUUUAUAGGCACAGGGAAACCAAAAAAUUCAUGGGACUCGGUUUACUGUGGCAUUUGCUUUAUUGGGAUGUCUGGGACUGAACCUGCAGUGUCUCGGACGUCUGCCUGUGCUUCUUCCCUCUGGCUAACACAAUAUAAACUAGAGAUGUUUCACUUAACAAAGGCCAGUCAGACUCAGCCUGGUGGCAAAGACCAGACGAACAGGAUGGCCAUCAGGGCUUCAGUUGUUAAUACAAUCAUGGGGCAGGCUAAGGGGACAGCCAUUGUUUCCCCAUCUAUUUGCCACGAAGUGAUGGGGAAACAAUGGAAACAGUGACAGACUUUAUUUUCUUGGGCUCCAAAAUCUCUGUGGAUGGUGACUGCAGCC
Bubalus bubalis (water buffalo) is the source of this 2101-nucleotide long non-coding RNA. RefSeq lists it as uncharacterized. The record is from RefSeq and is a predicted model, not a curated record. NCBI's taxonomy places the organism in Eukaryota, Metazoa, Chordata, Mammalia, Artiodactyla, Bovidae. The transcript has 3 exons.